CAACAUAUAUCGUCUAUCCUUGGGCCCUGGGAAGACUACAGAAUACAAUAUCAUCCUAGAGACAGGUUUAUAUGUUUGCUGGACAGGGAUCUUAGAAGAGGAGCCCCUUCUCUGUAAGUUCUUCCUGUCCCACUGACGCCACCAUCAGAUGGGAGAACUCUAGCAGGUGACAUUGAAAACCCAGUCACUGAAGUGGAACUUGUAAAGUGAAACAACCAUCAUCAAAUAAAAGGUUUUUAUGGAAACUCUGGAGGAUCAUCUUAAUAACAAGCCAGGCUUUCAAGGAGAAUGUUCCUGUGACUUUUUGGAUGGAUUUAUUGACUUUUUAGAGUCUAUUGCUGCUGUAAAUCUAAUCGUGCAAGAAAAAAUGGAGCAAAAAUUAAAAUGGUAUUUUAAGCUGUAUGACGUUGAUGGAAGUGGCUCUAUUGACAAAAAUGAACUACUGG
This 446-nucleotide long non-coding RNA is filed under the name Cebus imitator (Panamanian white-faced capuchin). RNAcentral describes it as "lncRNA (ENSCCAG00000038206.1)". The record is from RNAcentral. Lineage: Eukaryota; Metazoa; Chordata; Mammalia; Primates; Cebidae.